GAAACCCCAGGGGCGACACCCACCAUUCCAAACCCUAGUUCACAAGAAAUCCUGCAAAUUGAAGGCCUUAAUCAGUUAGAAAUCGAAAUCCAAGCAUAGAAUCGUGAUCACCUCGUCAAAGGGAUCCUAAGGCAAGGAAUCCGGGACGUCGAGCGGACACGCCGGAGGAGAUACACGCGGAAAAGGAGUGCUUUAAAGGUAUGGAUGAGUUUCCCUCGGAUGGUGAUCAAGCAUGUUGUCAAGAACCGAACACGCGUUUUGAAGCUUCCGCACUAAAUAUAACCAUGUCUAGAACUUUAUUAUG
Molecule: long non-coding RNA, 304 nt
Organism: Helianthus annuus (common sunflower)
Lineage: Eukaryota; Viridiplantae; Streptophyta; Magnoliopsida; Asterales; Asteraceae
Exons: 3
Source: RefSeq, a predicted model, not a curated record